Molecule: long non-coding RNA, 236 nt
Filed under: Elaeis guineensis (African oil palm)
Lineage: Eukaryota; Viridiplantae; Streptophyta; Magnoliopsida; Arecales; Arecaceae
Description: long non-coding RNA (EGUI_LNC003957)
Source: RNAcentral
GCUGGAUUCGGAGCGUGACGGCUCUUCUUUACCUUCUUCUUUGUUCCUAUUUCUACCAUUCUUUAUCUCUUCAAACAUUUAUCUUCUUCUUCCUUCUUUUCUCUUCUUUCUUUCCUUUGUUCUUCUUGUUCUUUCUUCUUGUUCCUAUGCCAAGCUACUCUCUUCUUUCUUUUCUUCUCUUCUCCAUUAUUUUUCUCUCUUCUCCUCAUGUGUCUUUAUUUUAUUUCCUAUCUACA